CCAAUGCCCUUCGGGGCUCCUUGGUGAUUCAUGAUAACUUAACGAAUCGCAUGGCCUUGCGCCGGCGAUGGUUCAUUCAAAUUUCUGCCCUAUCAACUUUCGAUGGUAGGAUAGUGGCCUACCAUGGUAUCAACGGGUAACGGGGAAUUAGGGUUCUAUUCCGGAGAGGGAGCCUGAGAAACGGCUACCACAUCCAAGGAAGGCAGCAGGCGCGCAAAUUACCCAAUCCCGACACGGGGAGGUAGUGACAAUAAAUACUGAUACAGGGCUCUUUUGGGUCUUGUAAUUGGAAUGAGUACAAUUUAAAUACCUUAACGAGGAACAAUUGGAGGGCAAGUCUGGUGCCAGCAGCCGCGGUAAUUCCAGCUCCAAUAGCGUAUAUUAAAGUUGUUGCAGUUAAAAAGCUCGUAGUUGAACCUUGGGCCUGGCUGGCCGGUCCGCCUCACCGCGUGUACUGGUCCGGCCGGGCCUUUCCUUCUGGGGAUCCUCAUGCCCUUCACUGGGUGUGCUGGGGAACCAGGACUUUUACUUUGAAAAAAUUAGAGUGUUCAAAGCAGGCCUUUGCUCGAAUACAUUAGCAUGGAAUAAUAGAAUAGGACGUGCGGUCCUAUUUUGUUGGUUUCUAGGACCGCCGUAAUGAUUAAUAGGGAUAGUCGGGGGCAUCAGUAUUCAAUUGUCAGAGGUGAAAUUCUUGGAUUUAUUGAAGACUAACUACUGCGAAAGCAUUUGCCAAGGAUGUUUUCAUUAAUCAGUGAACGAAAGUUAGGGGAUCGAAGACGAUCAGAUACCGUCGUAGUCUUAACCGUAAACUAUGCCGACUAGGGAUCGGGCGAUGUUAUUCUUUUGACUCGCUCGGCACCUUACGAGAAAUCAAA
This 875-nucleotide ribosomal RNA is filed under the name Neofusicoccum sinoeucalypti. RNAcentral describes it as "SSU rRNA". It matches the Rfam family "Eukaryotic small subunit ribosomal RNA", at positions 222 to 1102 of the family's 1831-position model. Lineage: Eukaryota; Fungi; Ascomycota; Dothideomycetes; Botryosphaeriales; Botryosphaeriaceae. The record is from RNAcentral.